CAAUAGCGUAUAUUUAAGUUGCUGCAGUUAAAAAGCUCGUAGUUGGAUUUCGGGUGGGAAUGGCCGGUCCGCCGUUUCGGUGUGCACUUGCUACGCCCACCUUGCUGCCGGGGACGUGCUCUUGAGUUCACGCUCGGGACACGGAGUCGGCGAGGUUACUUUGAGUAAAUUAGAGUGUUCAAAGCAGGCCUAUGCUCUGAAUACAUUAGCAUGGAAUAACACGAUAGGACUCUGGCCUAUCUUGUUGGUCUGUAGGACCGGAGUAAUGAUUAAGAGGGACAGUCGGGGGCAUUCGUAUUUCAUUGUCAGAGGUGAAAUUCUUGGAUUUAUGAAAGACGAACUACUGCGAAAGCAUUUGCCAAGGACGUUUUCAUUAA
Molecule: ribosomal RNA, 377 nt
Filed under: uncultured eukaryote
Lineage: Eukaryota
Description: partial 18S ribosomal RNA
Rfam family: Eukaryotic small subunit ribosomal RNA
Source: RNAcentral